GACGAACGCUGGCGGCGUGCUUAACACAUGCAAGUCGAACGGAAAGGCCCUGCUUUUGUGGGGUGCUCGAGUGGCGAACGGGUGAGUAACACGUGAGUAACCUGCCCUUGACUUUGGGAUAACUUCAGGAAACUGGGGCUAAUACCGGAUAGGAGCUCCUGCUGCAUGGUGGGGGUUGGAAAGUUUCGGCGGUUGGGGAUGGACUCGCGGCUUAUCAGCUUGUUGGUGGGGUAGUGGCUUACCAAGGCUUUGACGGGUAGCCGGCCUGAGAGGGUGACCGGCGACAUUGGGACUGAGAUACGGCCCAGACUACUACGGGAGGCAGCAGUGGGGAAUAUUGCACAAUGGGCGGAAGCCUGAUGCAGCCACGCCGCGUGCGGGAUGACGGCCUUCGGGUUGUAAACCGCUUUCGCCUGUGACGAAGCGUGAGUGACGGUAAUGGGUAAAGAAGCACCGGCUAACUACGUG
Molecule: ribosomal RNA, 468 nt
Filed under: uncultured bacterium
Lineage: Bacteria
Description: partial 16S ribosomal RNA
Rfam family: Bacterial small subunit ribosomal RNA
Source: RNAcentral